CGUUUCUGUAAUGACUUUAGUCAUUGGAGAGAACGUUAUACCCCCGUAUCGUUAGAAGUGAAGCCAUGACUUUCAAUCGAAGGCAUACAUAUAUGAGUACCGUUAAUUUUACCAUAAAAAUCAAAAAGCUAGGCUACUGCACUAAAACAAUGAACAUGUGUUUAGAGUGGGUAUAGGCAACGACUCUAACCUAUCUGCCUAUUACAGUUCAAUUACCCGAUCAUUGACAGUAGGCUUUGUUUUGAUAGCGUAAAUUAGUAUUCAAUUUCAUUUCAAAUGCAGUCCUGCUUCAAUGGAUGAAUUUGACAGAAAACGAAAUGGUUUUAUUGCGUAAUUGUCAGGUAUGGGGGUUCUAUAGGCUAACGGGAAUGAUCAUCAAAACCAAAACAACUUUUAUUUUAUCGUCGGAUAAGCCAAAGGUGUACCAGGGCGUGCGGGUGAAGACAACGGUUAAACAGUUGCUGCAACAGAAAAGAGCUCUCCAGACAUCAACUAAAACGGUUAGAAUGAAAUCCCAAAGCUUGGUGAGUCAGGAUGUCUGCGUCUCCUCCUCCUUGUCAGGCCAUUACUUUGAUUAUUUCCCUGAAGAGAUGAAUUCCAACUGCAUCUUUCAGCCGCGGUCCAUUCCAGAGAGCAACGUCCAGAAGGACAGCUUCGAUAAUCAACACUUGAUAAGCAUGAUGAUCCCCAACGAGACCUACAGCAGUGGUAUUCUGCAUCCCGCUACCUCAACAACACUUUGGCGCCAGGAAAAUCACUCCCCGAAUAUGGGCUAUUACGGCCAUGGCAUGGCUCCCAGCUCACCAUCAGGUUCCCUGAAUAUGUCAAGUCCGGUCGAUUACAAUAGUUAUUCGCCACAGGAGUCUUACUCUUCGUCGUGUUACAACUCUCCGACGAGGCUGGACUUGAGUUAUGGGUUUGUUCCAGAGCACUACCACUACCAGAACUGCAACCUCCAGGAGAGCGUCUCCACUCCAGAAUACGCACCUUAUGGCACAUCAGACUAUGUAUACGCCUUGCCUGCGGAGGACAGCUACUUCAGGCGUGAUUUGUCAAAUUCAGAGAUGUGCUACCUUUGAAUAUUUAUUCGGUCUUUGUUGUCUGUGUAAAUACAGUAUAGUGUACAGUCAAAACAAUGUCUGUAACUCGAUGUCAAACGUUGACACUUGUGGCACUUGUUUUGAGAUGUAGGCCUGCUUUGCAUUUCAGAGUGUUUGCGGUCGAAGUUUCCUCCGAGUGUCUGUUUUUGAUAUGAUUGGAAUAAUGGUUUUAGAAUUCCCGAGAUUGGAUAAAUGUUGGAUAUGUGUGGGCUUAGUGCUAUCUUCUUAGUUAUUGACUUUGAUAUUUAAGCAAUAAGGCACGAGGGGGUGUGGUUUAUGGUCAAAAUACCACGGCCAAGGGCUGUUCUAAUCUCGAUGCAACGCGGAGUGCCUGGAUAUUGGCCAUAUACCACAAAUGCCCUAGGUGCCUUCAUGCUAUUAUGAACUGGUUACCAACAUAAUUAGAGCAGUAAAAAUAAAUGUUUUGUCAUACCAAUGGUAUAGGGUCUGAUAUACCACGGCUGUCAGCCAAGCAGCAUUCAGGGCUUGAACCAAGUUUAUAAAUAUAUAUAUACAAUUCUAAUGAUGUCAUCCUGCUUUUUUACAAGACAGUAUAUUUUUUCAGCAUAUUUUUUCUUAUGGAUGCAUUCAUUUUGUAAAUGAAUUGAAAAGCCUACCCAAAGGAAAUUAGCAGCAUCAUCCCCUUCAACUCACUAUUUAGUUUCCCUGUGCAGAUGCACACCGAUGCUUAGUUAGAAACAUUAACUUAAAUAGAUCAAUCAUUCAAAUAAAAGUGUCUAAUAAACCAAGAUAAAUUACAAUAGACAAACGGUAAUGAUCUAGAAUUUUUUAUAGUGCUUGUCAUUGCAAAAAUAAUCUCAAAACCCACUGACAAAAGAAGAAAAACAAAACAAUAAGGUUAACAUUGACCGCUCUUGAUGUGGAAAAAUGAUCUUCCAUGGAGGCAGACGCAAGUGCACGUCGCAUCAGGUCACAUCCAACUCAAGAGACGCCUGUCUCCACUCUACCCUCCUUGCACACCAUCCUCUGCCUCGGGAUCCAAGUCUCCUCCGAGGCCGAGAUAAAGCGGGGUUGAGCAGGGAUAGAAGUAGGCCUGCCUGUCCAAAAUGAUCAUAUUGUUACAUAUUACCAAAAACACGCACCAAUAAAAGAUAACUACUUGGAUAA
This 2228-nucleotide long non-coding RNA is filed under the name Salmo salar (Atlantic salmon). Its description in RNAcentral is "lncRNA (ENSSSAG00000114137.1)". The record is from RNAcentral. Lineage: Eukaryota; Metazoa; Chordata; Actinopteri; Salmoniformes; Salmonidae.